RNAcentral lists this ribosomal RNA (459 nucleotides) under uncultured bacterium. Its description in RNAcentral is "partial 16S ribosomal RNA". It matches the Rfam family "Bacterial small subunit ribosomal RNA", at positions 338 to 795 of the family's 1533-position model. The record is from RNAcentral.
CCUACGGGCGGCUGCAGUGAGGAAUAUUGGUCAAUGGGAGAGAUCCUGAACCAGCCAAGCCGCGUGAGGGAAGACGGCCCUAUGGGUUGUAAACCUCUUUUGUCGGAGAACAAAACCCGGGACGAGUCCCGGACUGCGUGUACCCGAAGAAAAAGCAUCGGAAAACUCCGGGCCAGCAGCCGCGGUACUACGGGGGAUGCGAGCGUUAUCCGGAUUUAUUGGGUUUAAAGGGUGCGUAGGCGGUCUGUUAAGUCAGCGGUAAAAUUGCGGGGCUAAACCCCGUCGGGCCGUUGAAACUGGCAGGCUUGAGUUGGCGAGAAGUGCGCAGAAUGCGCGGUGUAGCGGUGAAAUGCAUAGAGAUGGCGCAGAACUCCGAUGGCGAAGGCAGCGUACCGGCGCCAGACUGACGCUGAGGCACGAAAGCGUGGGGAUCGAACAAGAUUAGAUACCCCAGUAGUC